GACGAACGCUGGCGGCGUGCCUAACACAUGCAAGUCGAGCGGAGCAAAUUAGCAGAUCCCUUCGGGGUGACGUUGAGGAAGCUUAGCGGCGGACGGGUGAGUAACGCGUGAGUAACCUGCCCAUAAGAGAGGGAUAACACAGAGAAAUUUGUGCUAAUACCUCAUAUUGAGUUAAGAUCGCAUGAUUUUUACUGAAAGAUUUAUCGCUUAUGGAUGGACUCGCGUCUGAUUAGCUAGUUGGUGAGGUAAAGGCUCACCAAGGCGACGAUCAGUAGCCGAAUGAGAGGUUGAUCGGCCACAUUGGGACUGAGACACGGCCCA
Molecule: ribosomal RNA, 321 nt
Filed under: uncultured bacterium
Lineage: Bacteria
Description: bacterial SSU rRNA
Rfam family: Bacterial small subunit ribosomal RNA
Source: RNAcentral